GGGCACAUAGCUCAGCGGUAGAGCACCGCCUUCACACGGCGGGGGUCCCAGGUUCGAAACCUGGUGUGCCCA
RNAcentral lists this transfer RNA (72 nucleotides) under Archangium sp. RNAcentral's name for it is "tRNA-Val". It matches the Rfam family "tRNA". Rfam says of the family: Transfer RNA (tRNA) molecules are approximately 80 nucleotides in length. Lineage: Bacteria; Pseudomonadati; Myxococcota; Myxococcia; Myxococcales; Archangiaceae. The record is from RNAcentral. RNAcentral also lists the same sequence under 5 other names.